CAGGCGAUAGUUUAAUUUAAAAUUUCGGCCUUGGGUGUCGAUAAUGGGGGAGAGAGACCCUCUUGCUUGA
This 70-nucleotide transfer RNA is filed under the name Batrachoseps attenuatus (California slender salamander). Its description in RNAcentral is "tRNA-Pro". It matches the Rfam family "tRNA". Rfam says of the family: Transfer RNA (tRNA) molecules are approximately 80 nucleotides in length. Their secondary structure includes four short double-helical elements and three loops (D, anti-codon, and T loops). Further hydrogen bonds mediate the characteristic L-shaped molecular structure. tRNAs have two regions of fundamental functional importance: the anti-codon, which is responsible for specific mRNA codon recognition, and the 3' end, to which the tRNAs corresponding amino acid is attached (by aminoacyl-tRNA synthetases). tRNAs cope with the degeneracy of the genetic code in two manners: having more than one tRNA (with a specific anti-codon) for a particular amino acid; and 'wobble' base-pairing, i.e. permitting non-standard base-pairing at the 3rd anti-codon position. Lineage: Eukaryota; Metazoa; Chordata; Amphibia; Caudata; Plethodontidae. The record is from RNAcentral.